AGCUUUUUUUGUUCGCAAUUAAAGCCGAGGGGACAGUGGCGAACGGGUGAGUAACGCGUAAGUAAUCUGCCCCUGACUGGGGAAUAACUCUCCGAAAGGAGGGUUAAUACCGCAUGUGGUCCCGGUCCGGCAUCGGACCGGGAUUAAAGAUGUGUUUCGUUUACGGAAUAUAUCGGUUAGGGAUGAACUUGCGUCCUAUUAGCUUGUUGGUAGGGUAACGGCCUACCAAGGCUUUGAUGGGUAGCUGGUCUGAGAGGAUGGUCAGCCACACUGGGACUGAGACACUGCCCAGACUCCUACGGGAGGCUGCAGUCGAGAAUCAUCCGCAAUGGGCGAAAGCCUGACGGUGCGACGCCGCGUGGAGGAUGAAGGCCUUCGGGUUGUAAACUCCUUUCACCCGGGAAGAAAAAUCAUCAUGUGAAUAACAUGGUGACCUGACGGUACCGGGAGAAGAAGCCCUGGCUAACUCCGUGCCAGCAGCCGCGGUAAUACGGAGGAUGCAAGCGUUAUCCGGAUU
Molecule: ribosomal RNA, 517 nt
Filed under: uncultured bacterium
Lineage: Bacteria
Description: bacterial SSU rRNA
Rfam family: Bacterial small subunit ribosomal RNA
Source: RNAcentral